This is a long non-coding RNA of Myotis brandtii (Brandt's bat), 792 nucleotides long. RefSeq lists it as uncharacterized. The transcript is spliced from 2 exons. The record is from RefSeq and is a predicted model, not a curated record. NCBI's taxonomy places the organism in Eukaryota, Metazoa, Chordata, Mammalia, Chiroptera, Vespertilionidae.
AGGGGGCCGGAGGGGGCGGGCAUAGCCCUUCCAGGAGCUUGUCUCAUGCUCGCCCGUGUCUGUCGUCCGUGGCUGAGCUUCUGACCCACUGUGUGCUGGUGUCAUCGUGCCCGUGGUAGCCAUGAGCAAGCUGGGGCACAGAGAGGUGCAUCGCUCCCCCCAGGUCACACAGCAGCGGGAGAAACCAGGCCGGGGCAACGUGCCAGGUGGCUGGUGACCCCGAAACACGGCCUUAGUGCUCACUCCACACUUGGUGACCCUGGGCGAGGGACAUGCGUGGGUGGCGUAUUUCCAUUGUGACGUGGCGGUGACGGGAGGACGCCUGUCUUGGGCUGGCAGUGCCGGUCAGCACAGGCCCUCUCUUGCUGGUGCAGCGGGUGACACCUCCCCAACCCCCCGGCUCCCUGGGGGUAUCUUCCCGUGACCUAGGUGUAUCUGGGACAUGUUGUCGUCCUCCACACCUGGAGUUGUAAACUGUCCCUGCAGGUCCCCAGCCCCCAGGAAGGCAGCGAAGAGGACGGAGACAGUGACUGAGCGGGGACGCCCCCGGAGACACGUGCACCAGGAGCCGCCGCCGCUGCCACCGGCCGCAUCCCUCGCCAAGACGGGAGCCAAGACGCGGCCUCGCAACCUCAGGACCUCGAGACCCACAUCACUCUCAGUUUCCCUCAGGAGAACCGGCCGCCAACCUGUCUCAGCUCAGCGUGAACUCUGUACACCUCAGCGUGUAAAGACACUAUUUUUUUAAGGAAAUGAUUUUCUUACUAAAUAGAUACAAGCUUUGCUUAGUUA